AUGUUGAGAGUCGCUAUGAGAGAAGACUCGACAAGUGAGGAGGAAUACGUGGACGUGCUUCAGAUCCAGCAGCUUCUUCUGGACCCGCACCAGCCGCCGCCAGACAGCGCCCCUUUCGCCGCGCCGACCCCCGUUCCGUCGCCCUCUCCUACAAUGUCCACCCUCCGCCCGACGACUGGCUUUCACUUUGGCUCAAUCCUGCCAAUAACUCAGGUUCCUUGGAGGCCGAAGAGCUAUCGGAAGACAGCACCCAGAUCAAAGAGGAGAGCCCAGUCGAAGAAUUCCGGCUGAAAACAGAAGUUGUCCGCGAGAGCCCACCACCCGGCCGGGCGGAGGAGGAGGAAG
Molecule: long non-coding RNA, 345 nt
Filed under: Bemisia tabaci
Lineage: Eukaryota; Metazoa; Arthropoda; Insecta; Hemiptera; Aleyrodidae
Description: lncRNA ENSSSA3NGG004106
Source: RNAcentral